CAAGUCACCAUGGCAACCACUGGUUGCACGAGGGGACGUGAUGGAGGUUGAGCCGGAUUCUUUCAAAGGUGAAGGAAUGGUGCUGGUUAUGUAAUAUCAAUAGCCAAGGGGAAGGUUGCAAAUAUUGCUUGUGAAAGUUCUUUGACUGAUGAGAGAACAACCUAUGUCGAACAAGAGGAGCAUGUGCAGUGCAAGCUUGGCCUGGAGAAUCCCACUGUGACCAUUGACCUUCAGACAUUGGCAUCAGAAGUGAGGCAAUACUGCAGAGAUGUCGGCUGACAAUCAACGUCCAUUGUGUUCACAUCCUGACACACCAGAAAUGGCAUUGUGGCUCAGUGGUUAGCACUGCUGCCUCAAAAGACCUGGGUUCGAUUCUAGCCUUGGGCGACUGUCU
This is a long non-coding RNA of Rhincodon typus (whale shark), 394 nucleotides long. RefSeq lists it as uncharacterized. NCBI's taxonomy places the organism in Eukaryota, Metazoa, Chordata, Chondrichthyes, Orectolobiformes, Rhincodontidae. The record is from RefSeq and is a predicted model, not a curated record. The transcript has 3 exons.